AACGAACGCUGGCGGCAUGCCUAACACAUGCAAGUCGAACGAGACCUUCGGGUCUAGUGGCGCACGGGUGCGUAACGCGUGGGAACCUGCCCUUAGGUUCGGAAUAACUCCCCGAAAGGGGUGCUAAUCCCGGAUAAUGUCUUCGGACCAAAGAUUUAUCGCCUUUGGAUGGGCCCGCGUUGGAUUAGCUAGUUGGUAGGGUAAAAGCCUACCAAGGCGACGAUCCAUAGCUGGUCUGAGAGGAUGAUCAGCCACACUGGGACUGAGACACGGCCCAGACUCCUACGGGAGGCAGCAGUGGGGAAUAUGGGAAAAUGGGCGAAAGCCUGAGCCAGCAAUGCCGCGUGAGUGAUGAAGGCCUUAGGGUUGUAAAGCUCUUUUACCCGGGAUGAUAAUGACAGUACCGGGAGAAUAAGCUCCGGCUAACUCCGUG
RNAcentral lists this ribosomal RNA (433 nucleotides) under uncultured bacterium. Its description in RNAcentral is "partial 16S ribosomal RNA". It matches the Rfam family "Bacterial small subunit ribosomal RNA", at positions 29 to 507 of the family's 1533-position model. The record is from RNAcentral.